Molecule: unclassified non-coding RNA, 345 nt
Filed under: soil metagenome
Description: partial contains 5.8S ribosomal RNA, internal transcribed spacer 2, and large subunit ribosomal RNA
Rfam family: 5.8S ribosomal RNA (bases 1-120)
Source: RNAcentral
GAUGAAGAACGCAGCGAAAUGCGAUACGUAAUGUGAAUUGCAGAAUUCAGUGAAUCAUCGAGUCUUUGAACGCACAUUGCGCCCCCUGGUAUUCCGGGGGGCAUGCCUGUCCGAGCGUCAUUGCUGCCCUCAAGCACGGCUUGUGUGUUGGGCCUCCGUCCUCCUCCCGGGGGACGGGCCCGAAAGGCAGCGGCGGCACCGCGUCCGGUCCUCGAGCGUAUGGGGCUUCGUCACCCGCUCUUGUAGGCCCGGCCGGCGCUUGCCGACACAUCAAUCUUUUUUCCAGGUUGACCUCGGAUCAGGUAGGGAUACACGCUGAACUUAAGCAUAUCAAUAAGCGGAGGA